GCAUUGGUAGCUCAGUGGUAGAAUUUUUGCCUUCCAUGCAGGAGUCCUGGUUUCAAUUCCUGGACGAUGUA
This 71-nucleotide transfer RNA is filed under the name Loxodonta africana (African savanna elephant). It matches the Rfam family "tRNA". From Rfam's summary of the family: Transfer RNA (tRNA) molecules are approximately 80 nucleotides in length. Their secondary structure includes four short double-helical elements and three loops (D, anti-codon, and T loops). Further hydrogen bonds mediate the characteristic L-shaped molecular structure. tRNAs have two regions of fundamental functional importance: the anti-codon, which is responsible for specific mRNA codon recognition, and the 3' end, to which the tRNAs corresponding amino acid is attached (by aminoacyl-tRNA synthetases). tRNAs cope with the degeneracy of the genetic code in two manners: having more than one tRNA (with a specific anti-codon) for a particular amino acid; and 'wobble' base-pairing, i.e. permitting non-standard base-pairing at the 3rd anti-codon position. The record is from Rfam by way of RNAcentral. Lineage: Eukaryota; Metazoa; Chordata; Mammalia; Proboscidea; Elephantidae.